ACAGAUAAAGCAUGAUUUUGAUGUUCUGAUAGUUUUUAUCUUAUGGGUGUUAUGUUGUUUUUUAGGUGCAAAUUUCAAUGAAAGUAAGAAAGGGGAGAAACUUAUAGUUCUGGUGGAUUUCACUCUCUAAUGUUGGCACUGGGUUUCGAUGCUUAUUGAAUAUAAUUCUUGCUUAUUGUCAAAAUUUGGUGAACUAUUUGGUUGACUAAUUAUUCAUACUGUAGUGCUUCUUAUCUUAAGGAGGUUUCCGGUGAAGGAUGGAGAGUUGAUGUACACAAGUUGUAUGGAUAUAUUGAUCUUUUCACACUUGUUGCACAUUGGUGGUUAGUUGAGGAUUGACAGAGAUCCAUGUGUUGUUUGCAAAGAAUCAGAGGCUGCGGACUUGGUUCAAAUGAAUGAGUCCAAUUCUUAUCAGUGUUAUAAAAGGUUCCACAAAAGAAAAGUGAUAUUUCUACCAGGUUGUUCGAGUUGUUAUUUAGACCUUGAAGAACUUACUCUACAAUGGGGCAUUUGGAGCUCAAAUGAUCCAGCAAAUAAGUGUCGGAGAGAAGUUAAGAUGGAAGCAUUGAGUUUUUAAAAUACAAGAAAUUCUUGGUUGGAUUCGUACCUCAACGUAUAUGUGAUGACAGGAUCAAGCUUCGCACUGAAACGAGAAGUUGUAAGGGUUUUUUAUUUUGUCG
This is a long non-coding RNA of Momordica charantia (bitter melon), 680 nucleotides long. RefSeq lists it as uncharacterized. NCBI's taxonomy places the organism in Eukaryota, Viridiplantae, Streptophyta, Magnoliopsida, Cucurbitales, Cucurbitaceae. The record is from RefSeq and is a predicted model, not a curated record.